AAUAUUGGACAAUGGGCGAAAGCCUGAUCCAGCCAUGCCGCGCGUGUGAAGAAGGUCUUCGGACUGUCUAGCACUUUAAGGUGGGAGGAAGGGCCUUAGGUAAAUACCCUGAAGCUUUGACGUUACCAACAGAAACAGCAACGGCUAACUCUGUGCCAGCAGCCGCGGUAAUACAGAGGGUGCAAGCGUUAAUCGGAAUUACUGGGCGUAAAGCGCGCGUAGGUGGUUUGUCAAGUUGGAAGUGAAAGCCCCGGGCUCAACCUGGGAACUGCUUUCAAAACUGGCAAGCUAGAGUAUGGCAGAGGGUGGUGGAAUUUCCUGUGUAGCGGUGAAAUGCGUAGAUAUAGGAAGGAACACCAGUGGCGAAGGCGACUACCUGGACUGAUACUGACGCUCAGACACGAAAGCGUGGGGAGCAAAC
This 421-nucleotide ribosomal RNA is filed under the name uncultured bacterium. RNAcentral describes it as "partial 16S ribosomal RNA". It matches the Rfam family "Bacterial small subunit ribosomal RNA", at positions 360 to 773 of the family's 1533-position model. The record is from RNAcentral.